This is a long non-coding RNA of Magnolia sinica, 859 nucleotides long. RefSeq lists it as uncharacterized. Lineage: Eukaryota; Viridiplantae; Streptophyta; Magnoliopsida; Magnoliales; Magnoliaceae. The record is from RefSeq and is a predicted model, not a curated record. The transcript is spliced from 2 exons.
CGACCCAUGAAUUCCAGAUACCCUCCAAAACCCUUCAACCGACCAUGACGAGAUAAAAUCCUGCAACCCCAUGGAGCGGUGUCGGGUCACGAAGCAUUCCGCAUCUGUCAUUUUCAUCGUGCUCCCUCGCUUGUUGAGAAAAGAACUUUCAUACCUGACAGAGAAUGAGCGUUGAUUCACAAGUGAUGAGAAACAGUACAAUUCUCAUACGAUCAACUCAAAUCAAACCGUUCAAAUCUUAUCCCUCGUUUUGAUUCACAAUUCAACAGAAUUCACACCGAUUCAUUUUUUUCUUACUGGGCGAUUGAUUGGGCAUCAUUGAAUGGUUGAAAUGAAAACAUUGAAUGGUCUGGAUUCAAUAAAUAAAUUCCUCGGAAUCAGAUACCAGGACUGUCCAAUCAAAUAUUAUUUUGUAAUUAUAUACCAUAACCGAUCCAUAAUUCAAAAACCAAGGAUGUUUAUUUUGAGUCAAUGAAUGCAUAUGGACAUAUACGAUUUCUGAGUACCCGCGUAUCAACCAUCACUCUGCCAGACCAUCAAAGAACUCCCACUCUCUCAUGCCUCUGGUCGCCUCUUCCCAAAGGAAUAAAACAUUUUUUUUUUUAAAAAAAAAAAAAAAAAAAAACCUAGAAUUCGUUGAAGAGCGAUGUCGAAGAAGGGGUUCUCCCUGUACUACAGAUGGAAUAAAGCAGCAGUAUCAGCAGAAUAGCAGAAGGCUUUCUUGAACUAGUAGAGGGAAAGAAAACUUACGAAGUUUCUGGUGCGGCUGGUCCCAUGGACGACAAGGUUUGUCAUGUUCCCGAUGAGGUAAGCUGUCAGCCCCAAGUUGAAAAGCAUGUAGAAAAUAUCAAACAACAUC